Pelobates cultripes (western spadefoot toad) is the source of this 264-nucleotide non-coding RNA. Lineage: Eukaryota; Metazoa; Chordata; Amphibia; Anura; Pelobatidae. The record is from the annotation of a GenBank genome assembly.
GCUAAACAUAGUACAAGCUACAGCAUCAACUGAUUAAUGAGGGUACUUCACAGACACAAAGCAAAACUUCACACAGCACAGCGAAAAGUCGUAAAACCUUGGCUAACAGAUCAACUGAGUAACCCUUUCAAUGCUGGCUAGAUCCUCCUAGGCAUAUAGUAUCCUAUUCUCGUGUAAUUUUCAAUUAAAAUAACAUUCGAACCAGCUCAUUAAUCGUUUCCUGGAACCAUCCAAUAAGAAUAAUCUACCAGAUUUUUACAAAAG